This is a long non-coding RNA of Solanum pennellii, 1021 nucleotides long. RefSeq lists it as uncharacterized. Lineage: Eukaryota; Viridiplantae; Streptophyta; Magnoliopsida; Solanales; Solanaceae. The transcript has 6 exons. The record is from RefSeq and is a predicted model, not a curated record.
CAGCAUAAGCAGAUUGUACAAAAGGUUUACUGAAUUGUACAACAAACUUAGUUUUUCCUAUUUUUUUCUGCUAACACGUGUAUUGUCCUCUAGCAAACCACGUACCACUUCAUAUUGCAAACAGACUAUCUUACAGAUUUCUAUCUUCCUUCUCUUUUCAACAUUGGCUUUGUUCUUCACUCUUCUCAUAGUUUCUCUAUCAUUUGUUUUGAUUUUCUACUAUGUAUUCAUUUGUACGUGAAUGAUCCAAAAGCUGCAGAUUUGAAUAAGUUUGUCCUAGGAAAGAGGCAAAAGUUAUACUGAAAGAAGUUGAAGGCAAAAGCUUCUAAUUUUUGUAUAAAGCAGACUGCUCGGAGGGAAUGGCUAUAUUGAUUCUUUUCAUCAUGACCACGAGGAUCACGUAGAACAACCUGUUUUGAUCUCAACUCUUCAAUGGUGAAUCUAUGUGUUGCUAAGUUUCUUCUCUUUGUGUAGAAACUAAAUCUCUCUGCCUCAAGAUUUUUGUUUGUUUAGGAUGCCUUAUCGAUGUUUUCUCAAGAUUUAAGGACCGUAACAUGGGAAUUUUCCUUCAUUGCUUAGCUUUGAUCAUCAAGGGUGGUCACUUAUACAUCUCUAAAUCUCUACCUGAGAAUUUAACAAAGAUAUCUUACCUGCCAAGAUUUUGAUACAAUGAGAGCUUUCAUGAAGAAAGUGUGAUCAAUCUUGAGGCCUGCUUUGUGACCGAAUUGUUCAGGAACAUCAAGACGAUAGCUGAGUGUCUUGCUGAUGAACUCAUCAAUGCUGCCAAGGGUUCUUCAAAUAGCUAUGCUAUUAAGAAGAAGAACGAGAUUGAAAGGGUUGCCAAGGCUAAUCAUUAAGAGAUUGAUGUUGGAGCAACUUUCUCGAGAGACUUUUUGGUUAUGUUAUUUUUUCAUUUAUGUUUUCAUGUAGGCAUUAUAGCAUCUGCUACUCCUUAUGGAUUUAGUUUCUUGGAGGAUUUAUGUUUGGUAUUGUUAUAAAUGUUAAACUUUGAAGUUCUUUU